RNAcentral lists this ribosomal RNA (609 nucleotides) under Rhodotorula mucilaginosa. RNAcentral describes it as "eukaryotic LSU rRNA". It matches the Rfam family "Eukaryotic large subunit ribosomal RNA", at positions 38 to 663 of the family's 3401-position model. The record is from RNAcentral. Lineage: Eukaryota; Fungi; Basidiomycota; Microbotryomycetes; Sporidiobolales; Sporidiobolaceae.
GCAUAUCAAAAAGCUGAGGAAAAGAAACUAACAAGGAUUCCCCUAGUAGCGGCGAGCGAAGCGGGAAGAGCUCAAAUUUAUAAUCUGGCACCUUCGGUGUCCGAGUUGUAAUCUCUAGAAAUGUUUUCCGCGUUGGACCGCACACAAGUCUGUUGGAAUACAGCGGCAUAGUGGUGAGACCCCCGUAUAUGGUGCGGACGCCCAGCGCUUUGUGAUACAUUUUCGAAGAGUCGAGUUGUUUGGGAAUGCAGCUCAAAUUGGGUGGUAAAUUCCAUCUAAAGCUAAAUAUUGGCGAGAGACCGAUAGCGAACAAGUACCGUGAGGGAAAGAUGAAAAGCACUUUGGAAAGAGAGUUAACAGUACGUGAAAUUGUUGGAAGGGAAACGCUUGAAGUCAGACUUGCUUGCCGAGCAAUCGGUUUGCAGGCCAGCAUCAGUUUUCCGGGAUGGAUAAUGGUAGAGAGAAGGUAGCAGUUUCGGCUGUGUUAUAGCUCUCUGCUGGAUACAUCUUGGGGGACUGAGGAACGCAGUGUGCCUUUGGCGGGGGUUUCGACCUCUUCACACUUAGGAUGCUGGUGGAAUGGCUUUAAACGACCCGUCUUGAAACACG